UAAGACGAACCGUCCAAACGUUAUUCGGAAUCACUGGGCUUAAAGGGUGCGUAGGCGGCGCGGCAAGUUGGGUGUGAAAUACCUCGGCUCAACCGAGGAACUGCGCCCAAAACUGCCGUGCUCGAGGAAGAUAGAGGUGAGCGGAACUUAGGGUGGAGCGGUGAAAUGCGUUGAUAUCCUAAGGAACACCGGUGGCGAAAGCGGCUCACUGGAUCUUUUCUGACGCUGAGGCACGAAAGCUAGGGUAGCGAACGGGAUUAGAUACCCCGGUAGUCCUAGCCGUAAACGAUGAGCACUGGAUUGGAGGGUCCUCCAUAGCCUUCCAGUCGCAACGAAAGCGUUAAGUGCUCCGCCUGGGGAGUAUGGUCGCAAGGCUGAAACUUAAAUGAAUUGACGG
RNAcentral lists this ribosomal RNA (397 nucleotides) under uncultured bacterium. Its description in RNAcentral is "bacterial SSU rRNA". It matches the Rfam family "Bacterial small subunit ribosomal RNA", at positions 521 to 916 of the family's 1533-position model. The record is from RNAcentral.